This 6219-nucleotide long non-coding RNA is filed under the name Homo sapiens (human). Its description in RNAcentral is "HSALNT0258613". The stretch from base 5424 to 5685 matches the Rfam family "Metazoan signal recognition particle RNA". The record is from RNAcentral. Lineage: Eukaryota; Metazoa; Chordata; Mammalia; Primates; Hominidae.
UUUAACUCUCAAAUUCCAUUCAAUCUGGAAGUGUGAGAUAUGUUUUGUGUGCUGUCAGAUGGGCUCUAAAACAUGUCCCUGGGGCCGGGCGCGGUGGCUCACGCCAGUAAUCCCAGCACUUUGGGAUGCCGAGGCAGGCGGAUCACUUGAAGUCAGGAGUUUGAGACCAGCCUGGGCAACAUGGUGAGACCCUGUCUCCACCAAAAAAAGAAAAAAAAAUUAGCCAGGUGCGGUGAGGCAUGCCUGUGGUCCCAGCUACUUGGGUGGCUGAGGUGGGAGUAUUGCUUGAACGUGGGAGGUGGAGGUUGCAGUGAGGUAAGAUGUUGCCACUGCACCCCAGUCUGUGUGACAGAGGGAGACCAUGCCUCAAUUAAAAACAAAUGAAAUGAAAUGAAAAUGAAAUGAAAUGAAAUAAAAUAAAAUGUAUUCCUGGGCUCAGCAGCAGAUCUGAGCCUGGAGCCAGAAUCCAAGGAGCUGCCAUGGUUGUGGGGCCCCGUGACAUCAUUCCACAUUAGUCCUGCGUUCAGUUUGGGAUGGUAAGCCAUUUAACUGUUGAAGGUGCCAAUGUACCUUUGUUCGCAGAGCUACCUUUUGUUCACUCCCUGAAGAGCAACAACUUUGCUGAUUUCAGUUUAGUUGAUUUUCCCACUAUUUACGUGUGUACAUGUAAGUGUUUUCUAAGAUGCUUACAUUAGUGUCAUGUUUUGCAGAUGAUGCAUAGCAGUAGGAUUUAAGUGAGAAUCUUUAGUGCAAAAUCUAUUGCUCCUGGUAAUAAAAGAAGUGCACUGUAGCGUAGUGAGUUCUGAUAAUUGAUCCCACCACAGGCAAACUGUAUCUCUUGAAUUUCACCUGUCUUCACACAUAUAGUAUGAGCAAUUAUUUUGAUUAGAAUAAUGGCUUGUAUUUUUAAAGUAUAUAAUUUGCACUUAAAGUCACCAUUGAAUCUCUGUGCUAACAUCACUUUUACAGAGUUUUGCCCAUCCUAAUGAUAUUCCCCGCACCACCCCCCAAAAAAAGACUCAAGAGAAAAAACAAGGGUCUGCUCAUGGACAGAAAAUGUUAUCCUGGUCAGGUGCAGUGGCUAAUGUCUGUAAUUCCAGCACUUUGGGAGGCCGAGGCAGGUGGGUCACUUGAGGUCAGGAGUUUGAGAACCAGCCUGGCCGAUAUGGUGAAACCCCGUCUCUACUAAAAAAAAAAAAAAAAAAAAAAAAAAAAAUUAGCCAGACGUGGUGGCGGCUGCCUGUAAUCCAGCUACUUAGGAAGCUGAAGCAUGAGAAUCACUUGAACCUGGGAAGCAGAGGUCCCAGUGAACCAAGAUCGUGCCACCACACUCCAGCCUGGGCGGCAGAGUGACACUGUGUCUCAAAAAAGAAAAGAAAAGGAAAGAAAAUGUUAUCCCCAUUUCCAGCAUCCUCCAGGACAUUUGGUCAGGCAUCUGAUUAGGGGGUUGGUUCAUUUUCUAAAUUCUUUUCUGAGUCCUUAUGUUAAGAAAGGUAAAGUCAGUGCCUAAGUGUCCCAAGAUUCCAGAAUAAUUGUUUUCUGUAAUUAAGUAAACACAGCACAUAGGCUUAUGCCUAGACCAACUGGCAGAGGCAAGACCAGCAAAGGAGAUGCUUUUGUGAAGAAGAAUUUAGCUGAAGUGAGCAGAGCAAACUCCUUCUUGCCAUGCUGCAGGGACAGCUGGAAGGCAGCACCAGGGUGAAAGCGUUCUGUCAUUAAAUCAGUUUGGGAAGUACUCCAGGAGAGGGAUGCGAGCUGUCCCUCCCAUCCUAGCUCAGCCUGCAUCCCCUUUCUCCUGGACUAACGCUACAGAGUCCCACCUGGUGCCCUGUACCUGGUGUCCUGCCAUUCUCUCGUCCCCUGUAGCCCACUCUUCAUACAAAGCCAGAGAGGACUUCCUAAAAGAUGAUUUGAUGGCCAGGCACAGUGGCUCACACCUGUGUCCCAGCAACUUGGGAAGUUGAGGUGGGAGGAUUGCUCAAGCUCAGGAGUUUGAUUUUUUUUUUUUUUUUUUUUUUGAGACAAGAGCAUCGCUCUGUCGCCCAGGCUGGAGUGCAGUGGCAUGAUCUUGGCUCACUGCAAGCUCCGCCUCCCAGGUUCACGCUAUUCUCUUGCCUCAGCCUCCCGAGUAGCUGGGACGACAGUCGCCCACCACCACGCCCGGCUAAUUUUUUAUAUUGUUAGUAGAGAUGGGGUUUCAUCGUGUUAGCCAGGAUGGUCUCGAUCUCCCGACCUUGUGAUCCUUCUGCCUCGGCCUUCCAGAGUGCUGGGAUUACAGGCAUGAGCCACCACGCCCAGCCGAGCUCAGGAGUUUGAGACCAGCUUGGGCAACACAGCGAGACCCUGUCUCUUAAAAUUUUUUAAAAAAUUAUCCGGGUGUGGUGGCGUGUGUCUGUAGGCCGGAGGCUGAGAAGGGAGGAUCUGUUGAGCCCAAGAGUUGGAGGCUGCAGUGAGCUAUGAUUGCACCACUGCACUCCAGCCUGUGUGGCAAAGUGAGACCCUGUCUCUAAAAAUAUAUAAUAAUAAAACAAAAAAUAAUUUUAAAAAGAUGACUUGAUCACAUCACUCCCAAUUUAAACCUGGUUAACGGUUUCCCACUGCACCCAGAGUAGGCUUGAGCUGUAGCCACAGCCCAAGGCCUUCCUCUCCUCGGCAGCUCUUAGAUCCCCGCUCCUCCUCCUUCCCCAAGGCUGCAGCCACCCUGGCCUCUGCCAGUCCUUGGAACUCCUCAAGCCCUUUCUUGCCUCAGGGCCUUUGCAUGGGCUGUGACUCUACCUGGAAACUUCUUCCCUCUCAUCUUCACAGUUGGCUUCUCCUUGUCAUUCAGAUCACAGCUCCAAACCACCUUGUGUGAGGCACUUUUCCCAUUUACCAACUCUGCCCCACCUCCACCCCCAUGUCACUUUAUAUGCCACUAUUAAUAACAUUUAUUAUUUUCUUUUUAGCAUUCAGAAGGAUCUCUGAAAUGGUCUUGUUUAUUUGUUAUUGUAUUGUCUCUCCUGCCUGAAUGUAAGCUUCAUGAGGACGGGUCGGUGUCUUAAUCUGUCUCAUUCACACUGAACCCCAGAACCAUGCCCUGCUGGUGCAGUGGCUCAUGCCUGUAAUCCCAGCAUUUUGGGAGGCUGAGACAGUAGAGUUGCUUGAGGCCAGGAGCUUGAGACUAGCCUGGGCAACAUGGUGAAAGCUCAUCUCUACAAAAGAUGAAAAAAAUUAGCCAGAUGUGGUGAUGUGCACCUGUAGUCCCAGCUAUUCAGGAGGUUGAGUUGAGAGGAUUGCUUGAGACCAGGAGUUUGAGGCUGCAGUGAGCUAUGAUUACACCACUGCAUUCCAGCCUGGGUGACAGAGGGAGGCCCUGUCUCUAAAUAAAUAAAGAUAAAAAAAUUAAUAGAACUGUGCCGCCCCUUGAAAGACUCUCUGCAAAUGUUGGUUGAAUAACAGAAUGAACAGCAGAUACAUGCUACGCCUUUACCCCGUGCGGCCCCUGGCCCAGGUGGAAACCAUGCCAUUUGAGCAGGUUCGGUAUUUGGAUAACUGAUUAGACCUGGAGGGCUCAGAGGCAGCCGGUGUUAGGAAAGCCCUACCUCACAUCCUCAUAUCUGGGUAUCUCAGGCUGGGUGUGUUUGUCAGGUGCACCUCCAGUCACCCGCUCCUGACUUAUAGAUGCCCUGCAAGAAACCACUUGCUCACCAAUCUGCCGUUUGGCAGCAGGCAGGGUCCUUUUCGGGUGGUGGGGUCUUACAGGGCCCUUUGUCACUCCACCACUCUUCCUGUCUCUGGAAUUUUGUUCCCCCUCUCUUUUCUGGCCUGACCUCUGCAGGAAUGAACUCUCAUUUCACCAAAAUGACCCAAGAGGUUAGGACCAGAUCAUCCCUGAGAGGGGGCACUCACUGAGCAGAGCAGGCACAGGACCCUGGCAGGGCUGGGCUUAGCUGCUUCUCCUCAUUGAGGAGCCUCUAGUUUUCCUGGGCUGCUGUAUUGCAGAGCCUGGAAAUGUCUUCUAGUUCCAGGCAUUCCCUUCAGCCAAUGUAGUCCAUCAGCAGGGCUGAUGGAGAUCCAACUGUGGUCCCAGAGCCCCAGGAUUCCCCACAAUGAGGGGGCUGCAGUGAUGGCAACCUCUUGGCCAAUGCUGGAACCUUGACCUUGUCAGAUAACGAGGCCUCAGAGAGGUUAGCCUGUCUCCCAUGCUCCCCCUUGUACACCUGCACACCUGUAUACCUGCACACUCGCACACCUGCACACUUGCACAAUUGCAUACCUGCAUGCUCACACACCUGCACAUUCACACAACUGCACACCUGCACACCUCAACUGCACACUUGCAAAAUUGCACAUCGGCACACCUGCACAUUUACACACCUGCUUAACUGCACACUUGCACACUUGCACACCUGCACUCUUGCACACCUGCAUACCUCCACAACUACACGCCUGCACAUUUGCACAACUGCACACCUGCAUACCCACACACCUGCACACCUGCCCACAACCUUGUGCCCAGCCUCCAAAUUCCGUCCUCUAGCCUCCCGGGUGCCUUCCUAUUCUGGGCUUCUGUAAUCAUCAUUCAGUAAUCCUGGGUGGCUGGUCUGGUUCCUUCUCUUUGUAUCUUGCCUCUUGCACCAACUCCGAGGUUUCUAGUGGUUCUUCCCUCCUUCACCUCUGUGUCAGCCAUCUCUUUAGCCUUCUUACCUGGGUCCCACACACGGCAGCAAAGAAAGUGUGGUGUGCAUGGCUAAAGUCAGGCUAUCCCUGAGUCUAUAGAGGAGGAUACAUCAGCAUAACAAAUAGGUUCCUUUCUAUUCACACUACUUAGGAAUCAUGGUUUUCUAAAUGCUUUCACAAGGCUGUAAAAUGGAAACUUGAUAUCACCAGUAAACCCAUGAAGAAGCCUCUGUUCAUCUCUAUGGUGAGAGAGCCAUUUCUUUAGCUUGUGGGGAAUAUUGUCAGCUAAAAGUAUUGAUCAGCCGAAGGCCCUGGCAGGAGGAUGCAGAGGACAUGAAAUGUAAAUGUCUUCAUUUGCAAAAGGAGUUUCAGGACAGGCACCAGAGCUCAGGGAGGGGGUAAUGACUUCAAAAACACCUGGGGUCACCUGCGGUAUUUGUUGGUUUUCUCUCUGGACCUGAGCCUGUCUGAGAGAUGAGCUCUGACAUACACACCUGUAAAUGGUGUCUGUGCCGGAUCCUGGGGGUGAUUCUGGUUAGAGAUGAGAGCUGGGUCCAGAGUCUUGGGUGAGAAUAAACCACCAGCAGGGGCUUCAGUUAUGUGACUUUUGCAGGUCAAGCACAUAAGACUCUCAGAAAACCCCUUCCUGAAGUUGACUUCACAGUAAUAAAUAACAUGUGUGAGAGGGUGUGCAACAAGUGAAGAAUUUGCAUUUGAAGAACUGAAAUAAUAGAACACAUGAAAUAAAUUCUAAAAUAAGUAUGGCUGGGUGCUGUGGUGCACACCUGCAGUCCCAGCUAUUUGGAGGCUAAGACAAAAGGAUUGCUGAAGUCCGGGAGUUCUGGGCUGUUGCGCGCUAUGUUUGGCAUCAAUAUAGGACCUCCCAGGAGCAGGGGGCCACCAGGUUGCCUAAGAAGGGGUGAACUGGCCCAGGUUGGAAAAGGAGCAGGUCAAAACUCCUGUGGUGAUCAGAAGUGUGAUUGCUCGGCCGGGCGCGGUGGCUCACUCCUGUAAUCCCAGCACUUUGGGAGGCAGAGGCGUGCAGAUCAUGAGGUCAGGAGAUCGAGACCAUCCUGGCUAACACAGUGAAACCCCGUCUCUACUAAAACUACAAAAAAUUAGCCGGGCUUGGUGGCAGGUGCCUGUAGUCCCAUCUACUCAGGUGGCUGAGGCAUGAGAAUCGCUUGAACCCUGGAGGCCGAGGCUGCUGUGAGCCGAGAUCGUGCUGCUGUACUCCAGCCUGGGCAACAGAGCGAGACUCCGUCUCAAAAAAAAGAAAGGAAAAAAAAAAAAAAGGAAGUGUGAUUCCUUCUGAGAAUAGACAUGGCAUUCCAGGCUGGGCAACAUAGAGAGACCUCAUCUCUAAAAUGAAUAUAAAAUAAAAUAAAAUAAAAAUGUUUACCUUAUUUAGAGAUAAUUGAGGAUGGUUCAGUUUACUUUGUGGGUUUGAAAUUAAUUAUAAAUUUUAAAAAGAGAAUCAAAGAAGUAAAAACAGUCAACAGUUUAAAUGAAAACACAAUAGUGAUUUUUACUAGAAAUUAGAACCUAUACCUACCAACA